AAGAUUUUAAGUUAUUUACAAACUAAUAGUCUUCAAAACUAUAAAUAAUGAUAAAAUUCAUUAAAUCUUA
Molecule: transfer RNA, 70 nt
Filed under: Chinolyda flagellicornis
Lineage: Eukaryota; Metazoa; Arthropoda; Insecta; Hymenoptera; Pamphiliidae
Description: tRNA-Trp
Source: RNAcentral